RNAcentral lists this unclassified non-coding RNA (22 nucleotides) under Mus musculus (house mouse). RNAcentral's name for it is "oocyte_clustered_small_RNA13928". The record is from RNAcentral. Lineage: Eukaryota; Metazoa; Chordata; Mammalia; Rodentia; Muridae.
UGCGGCCCGACUUGACCACGAC